AACGUAGGAGACAAACGUUAUCCGGAGUUACUGGGCGUAAAGGGCGUGUAGGCGGUUUGUUAAGUCUGGCGUGAAAGCUCUCGGCUAAACCGGGAGAGGUCGUUGGAUACUGGCAAACUAGAGGAUGGUAGAGGCGUGUGGAAUUCCGGGUGUAGUGGUGAAAUGCGUAGAGAUCCGGAGGAACACCAGUGGCGAAGGCGGGUCUCUGGGCCGAUACUGACGCUGAGGAGCGAAAGCGUGGGGAGCGAACAGG
This 253-nucleotide ribosomal RNA is filed under the name uncultured bacterium. Its description in RNAcentral is "partial 16S ribosomal RNA". It matches the Rfam family "Bacterial small subunit ribosomal RNA", at positions 524 to 776 of the family's 1533-position model. The record is from RNAcentral.